This 483-nucleotide ribosomal RNA is filed under the name uncultured bacterium. RNAcentral's name for it is "bacterial SSU rRNA". It matches the Rfam family "Bacterial small subunit ribosomal RNA", at positions 19 to 518 of the family's 1533-position model. The record is from RNAcentral.
CUGGCUCAGGAUUAACGCUGGCGGCAUGCCUAAUACAUGCAAGUCGAACGGGACUAGCUUGCUAGUCCAGUGGCGAACGGGUGAGUAACACGUAGGUAAUCCACCCCUAGGACGAGGAUAGCUUCUGGAAACGGAAGGUAAAACUGGAUAGUAUAUAGAAGGGCAUCCUUUUAUAUUUAAAAGAGCAAUCUACCUAGGGAAGAGCCUGCGGCGCAUUAGCCAGUUGGCGGGGUAACGGCCCACCAAAGCGAUGAUGCGUAGCCGGACUGAGAGGUUGAACGGCCACAUUGGGACUGAGACACGGCCCAGACUCCUACGGGAGGCAGCAGUAGGGAAUUUUCGGCAAUGGGCGGAAGCCCUGACCGAGCAAUGCCGCGUGAAUGAAGAAGUAUUUCGGUAUGUAAAGUUCUUUUAUUAGGGACGAAAAAACAAAUUGACGGUACCUAAUGGAUAAGCUCCGGCUAACUACGUGCCAGCCGCGGC